CCCGGAAGAGGGGAAGGCUGUGGGAGGGAAAGCAGGAAGCUCUGCUGGACUGUGGAUUCUGGGAGGGGCCUGGGAACCUGAAUUUUUAAUGAGCUGAUCCCCCUCCCCCCACCCCAGAGAUUCUGGUGAAGCCUCAGCUCUCAAAUUUCAACUGUGGACUUGGAAUUCUAUGUGUGUAAAAAACAUAGCCUGGGGGUUCCAGUUGCCAAGUAAGGGGUAGAAUAUAAAAAUUUAAACAUAGAAAACCCCUUGUCAUUUCACUCAUUGCAACUGCCUUUUCCCAUGACACAGGAAAGAGAAGACUCUGGAAUCCCCUCCCUCAGCAAGGAAGUGGGUGCUCUUUCCCGGGAGUCCGGCAAGGGCCUCUUCUCUUUCACACUCUGAGAUUCCAAGGGUAGCAGCCCUCUUUGAGGUGCCUACAGCCUGCCUGGGCACGGAGGAACUGGCAGACAAGAGGCCAACACCCGCAAACUACCAAUGAUUCCAAGGGUCUGAUGCAAGACCUCAGCCACCCUGGAGAUGACUCAGUAGUCAAGGUGAGCUGAAGGGUGGCCUCUCCUCCAAAGGUUUCUCCAGAAACUUGCAGAAGCUUCUUUUCGUCCCUAGGCUUUUGAAGUUCGGCAGCAAUGUACUUUCAUGUGGGUGUUUUCAACCACUGUGGUGUUCCUGCAGCUGCAAGUUCCUGAGGCUUUGAGGGCUCAGAGGUGUGAAUAGACUUGGAUCUCUUCUAGAGAAUCAAAUAGCCUAAGGUCCUGUCUAACUGAGCCCUCUCUGUCAGGUGUCACUCAUCCCUCUGUUCCCAGCUUCCAGUAUUGUGUUGCUGUCAUCUUCUCCUGAUAUCUUUCUUAUCCAGUUGAUGUCUUUUAAAAAAUGAUGUGCUGUCCAGAUGCAGUGGUUCAUGCCUGUAA
Molecule: long non-coding RNA, 908 nt
Organism: Sapajus apella (tufted capuchin)
Lineage: Eukaryota; Metazoa; Chordata; Mammalia; Primates; Cebidae
Exons: 3
Source: RefSeq, a predicted model, not a curated record